AGGAUGCAGAGGAGAAUGGCAAGAAGGGAGAAGAUUCAAAGGAGGAUCCUGAUGAAGAGGAAGAGAAAUAAGCCAGACGUGAUCGACUGACCGAUCUCCUGUAUUUGUCGAGUGUUCUUCUUGUUGGUUGCUGGGGCUGUUCUGGCCUGUACAAUGGUGGCACCACAACAACCGUUUUGGUGGUGGUCUGGGCAGGUGCUAGACUGUUUGUUAGCCAUUUGAUGUGAUGGCCCUGCACUCCUACCUGGUUGGUGUGCUUGACUCUUGGUGUUCUUGACCUGUAGUCUCUUAGUUGCCGGUCAUGUACAAUAGCUGCUUGGUUAUAUGACUCUGUUCCUUUCUUAGGUAGCUAGCCCUGACUGUAAUUUGCAGCAUGCAUACUUGUCCGUGUUCUGUUCCUUGCAUUUUAUCCAUGUAAAACUGUUGUAUU
Molecule: long non-coding RNA, 430 nt
Filed under: Triticum aestivum (bread wheat)
Lineage: Eukaryota; Viridiplantae; Streptophyta; Magnoliopsida; Poales; Poaceae
Description: long non-coding RNA (TAES_LNC027902)
Source: RNAcentral